This 2121-nucleotide ribosomal RNA is filed under the name Triticum aestivum (bread wheat). RNAcentral describes it as "partial small subunit ribosomal RNA". Lineage: Eukaryota; Viridiplantae; Streptophyta; Magnoliopsida; Poales; Poaceae. The record is from RNAcentral.
AUGAGUGUGGAGUACAAUAUGGAUGAAGCUUUGAAAGCACGAAAUACUGCAGAGAGCAAGUUUCAUGCGCGCGACCUCAGGGGCGCACGCAAGUACGCGGUCAAGGCCCAGAAUCUCUGCCCAUCACUUGAGGGCAUAUCCCAGAUGGCGUCGACUCUUGAAGUUCAUCUUGCAGCGGAGUCCAAGAUUGAUGGAGAGAGUGACUGGUACCGGAUCUUGUCCCUGCCCGCCUUUGCAGAUGAAGAGGAUGUGAAGAAGCAGUACAGGAAGCUAGCUCUCCAGCUGCACCCUGAUAAGAACAAGUCAGUCGGUGCUGAGGAGGCCUUUAAACUGAUCUCUGAGGCUUGGAGUGUGUUGUCUGAUACUAGUCGGAAGACAAUUUAUGAUCAGAAGAGGUCAGAUCAUUCUGUUGUCAACGUAACCAAUGGCAUGUAUACGUAUGACAAGAAGGCGACCAAGAGAGCUCGAAAGAAUGCUGCUGCUGCCGCCGCCGCUGCGGCUGCUGCGGCGGCUGCUGCUGAGGCUACUGCUCGUCCUGCUGGUGUUGAUACUUUCUGGACAUCUUGCAAUCGCUGCCGUAUGCAGUAUGAGUACUUAAGAAUGUAUCUUAAUCAUAACCUUCUGUGCCCAAACUGCCAUCAUGCGUUCAUGGCGGUAGAGACUGGAUUUCCUUGCAACGGAAGCAGUUCAUCUUUCUCCUGGUCAACCAAGCAGCAGCCACAGAACCACAGUUCCACCAAACAUUCAUAUGGCUCAACAAGCAGGACUUCUAGCAUUCCGGGGACAGGGCAUGUGGGGUAUCAGCAAGAUAGUACUUACGAUUCCUACAACAGUCAAAGCUUUCAGUGGAAUCAGUACUCCAAGACAGCGCCUGCAGCUGACACAAAUGCGUACAGUACCCAGGCUUCCGAGAAACCUAGAAGAAAUGAAGAGAGCUACAGCUACAACUACCCUGAAAGUGGAAACACAUGUGACCCUGAGAGAACUACUUCAAGGCGUGGCCGGUUUGCAAAGCGGAGAAGGCAUAGUAAUGAUUAUACUACUGUGGAUUAUGCUGGAGAUAACAAAGAAACAGUGGUUGUAAGCACAGAGACAAAUGCUUUCACUGAUGUGGGGCGGGUUAAUGGCACUUCAGUGGAAAAGAUGAGAUCUGCAGUGAGUGUAAGGAGAGCUAAUGUUUUGAGAGAGAUCUCCCAGAUUGAUACACGGGGUCUACUUGUUGAGAAAGCCAAAGAAGCCGUCCGGGGAAAAUUGCAAGAGCUGAGCAUGGCAGCAUGUUCACGGUUUGCAGAGAAAAGGAAGUCAGAAGGAAAGGUAUAUCCUAGUGACAACAACAUAAAGGCAAAUGGGGUCCUCUCUGGCAAGCCUGGCAAAGGACUCAAGCUAUGCAGUUCAAUAAGUGUCGACACCCACAUACCUGCAACUGCAACUGAUGAAAAGAAUCCAGAACAGAAGCGUGUGCCUGUUUCGAUUGAUGUCCCAGAUCCUGACUUCCAUGAUUUUGAUAAGGAUCGCACAGAGAGAGCUUUUUAUAGUGACCAAGUAUGGGCUACAUAUGACAGUGAGGAUGGAAUGCCUCGUCUAUAUGCAAUGGUGCAGAAAGUUCUUUCAAUGAGACCUUUCAGAAUCCGCAUGAGUUUCCUCAAUUCCAAAUCCAAUAUUGAACUGUCGCCAAUAAACUGGGUUGCCUCUGGUUUCCAGAAAACAUGUGGCGAUUUUAGGGUUGGAAGGUACCAGAUUACGGAAACAGUCAACAUAUUUUCGCACAAAGUCAGCUGGACUAAAGGCCCCCGUGGGAUUAUCAGAAUUAUUCCUCAGAAAGGUGAUACAUGGGCUUUGUACCGAGACUGGUCUCCUGAUUGGAACGAGCUUACACCUGAUGAUGUUGCUGGCUUCAAAGCUGUGUUCCAUAGGCACAUGGACCCCAAGGAGGUGAGGAGGAUACCAAAGGGUGAGCUGUUUCGAUUCUCGCAUCAGGUUCCUUCUCGACUGCUGACUGGUGAAGAAGGCAACAAUGCCCCGGAAGGUUGUCAUGAGCUCGAUCCUGCUGCAACCCCAGUGGACCUUCUUAAGGUUAUUACAGAGGUGAAUGAAGACGUGGCGGCGCAGACUGCUGAAUAG